Molecule: long non-coding RNA, 491 nt
Filed under: Nicotiana benthamiana
Lineage: Eukaryota; Viridiplantae; Streptophyta; Magnoliopsida; Solanales; Solanaceae
Description: long non-coding RNA (NBEN_LNC026086)
Source: RNAcentral
UCACCCAUCCCUCAUGGUACUACUUCGCUAUCGGUCACCUAGGAGUAUUUGGCCUUGCAAGGUGGUCCUUGCUGAUUCACACGGGAUUCCACGUGCCCCAUGCUACUCGGGUCAGAGCGUAAGCUAGAGAUAAAACCUCGAAUCAAUUAUUUUUCUCGAGCCGUACGAGGAGAAAUCUUUAUUUGAAUCAACUUCGUUUUUACUCUUGUUCGUUCUUUAUCCAGAAGAUGAUAGAGGUGGAAUAGAAUAACCCAGUUGAAGCGUAAUGAUCAUACGUCUGUAAGGCACUGUAUGUCCCUUUCACCCAUCCCUCAUGGUACUACUUCGCUAUCGGUCACCUAGGAGUAUUUGGCCUUGCAAGGUGGUCCUUGCUGAUUCACACGGGAUUCCACGUGCCCCAUGCUACUCGGGUCAGAGCAUAAGCUAGUGAUGCUUUCGGCUACUGGACUUNNNNNNNNNNNNNNNNNNNNNNNNUCCCCAUGCUACUCGGG